Molecule: ribosomal RNA, 404 nt
Filed under: uncultured bacterium
Lineage: Bacteria
Description: bacterial SSU rRNA
Rfam family: Bacterial small subunit ribosomal RNA
Source: RNAcentral
UAGGGAAUUUUCCGCAAUGGACGAAAGUCUGACGGAGCAACGCCGCGUGGAGGAUGACGUAUCUCGGUAUGUAAACUCCUUUUCUGCGGGACGAUAGUGACGGUACCGCAGGAAUAAGCAUCGGCUAACUACGUGCCAGCAGCAGCGGUAAUACGUAGGAUGCGAGCGUUAACCGGAAUUACUGGGCGUAAAGCGCGUGUAGGUGGUUUCGAAAGUCUGUUGUUAAAUUCUGGUGCUUAACAUCAGUUCUGCAAUGGAUACUUCGAGACUAGAGACGAUGGGGGGAAAACGGAAUUCCCGGUGUAGCGGUAAAAUGCAUUGAUAUCGGGAGGAACACCAGAAGCGAAGGCGGUUUUCUAACAUCGUUCUGACACUAAGACGCGAAGGCUAGGGUAGCGAAAGGG